RNAcentral lists this ribosomal RNA (279 nucleotides) under uncultured bacterium. Its description in RNAcentral is "partial 16S ribosomal RNA". It matches the Rfam family "Bacterial small subunit ribosomal RNA", at positions 506 to 784 of the family's 1533-position model. The record is from RNAcentral.
UGCCAGCAUCCGCUGUACUCCUGAUGGUGCAAGCGUUAAUCGGAAUUACUGGGCGUAAAGCGCGCGUAGGUGGUUGUUUAAGUCAGAUGUGAAAGCCCUGGGCUUAACCUAGGAACUGCAUUUGAUACUGGGCAACUAGAGUAUGGUAGAGGGAAGUGGAAUUCCACAUGUAGCGGUGAAAUGCGUAGAGAUGUGGAGGAACACCAGUGGCGAAGGCGACUUCCUGGAUCAAUACUGACACUGAGGUGCGAAAGCGUGGGGAGCAAACAGGAUUAGAUA